RNAcentral lists this ribosomal RNA (327 nucleotides) under uncultured bacterium. RNAcentral's name for it is "bacterial SSU rRNA". It matches the Rfam family "Bacterial small subunit ribosomal RNA", at positions 568 to 898 of the family's 1533-position model. The record is from RNAcentral.
UGUGUAGGCGGACUGGCGUGUCGAUGGUGAAAGCUCCCCGGCUUAACCGGGAAAGGGCUGUCGAAACUACCAGUCUUGAGGGCGGAAAAGGAAACUGGAACUUCCGGUGUAGCGGUAAAAUGCGUAGAUAUCGGAAGGAACGCCGAUAGCGAAGGCAGGUUUCUGGGACGUACCUGACGCUGAAACACGAAAGCUAGGGGAGCAAACAGGAUUAGAUACCCUGGUAGUCCUAGCUGUAAACGAUGUACAUUAGGCGUGGGGAUUUUUCCCCGUGCCGGAGCCAACGCGUUAAAUGUACCGCCUGGGGACUACGGCCGCAAGGUUGAA